AGUGAACGCUGGCGGUAGGCCUAACACAUGCAAGUCGAACGGCAGCACAGUAAGAGCUUGCUCUUACGGGUGGCGAGUGGCGGACGGGUGAGGAAUACAUCGGAAUCUACUUUUUCGUGGGGGAUAACGUAGGGAAACUUACGCGAAUACCGCAUACGACCUACGGGUGAAAGCAGGGGAUCUUCGGACCUUGCGCGAGUGAAUGAGCCGAUGUCGGAUUAGCUAGUUGGCGGGGUCAAGGCCCACCAAGGCGACGAUCCGUAGCUGGUCUGAGAGGAUGAUCAGCCACACUGGAACUGAGACACGGUCCAGACUCCUACGGGAGGCAGCAGUGGGGAAUAUUGGACAAUGGGCGCAAGCCUGAUCCAGCCAUACCGCGUGGGUGAAGAAGGCCUUCGGGUUGUAAAGCCCUGUUGUUGGGAAAGAAAAGCAGCAGGUUAAUACCCCGCUGUUCCGACGGUACCCAAAGAAUAAGCACCGGCUAACUUCGUG
Molecule: ribosomal RNA, 492 nt
Filed under: uncultured bacterium
Lineage: Bacteria
Description: partial 16S ribosomal RNA
Rfam family: Bacterial small subunit ribosomal RNA
Source: RNAcentral